UACGUAGGGGGCGAGCGUUGUCCGGAUUCAUUGGGCGUAAAGAGCGCGUAGGCGGCUGAGCAAGUCGGAUGUGAAAGCUCCAGGCUCAACCUGGAGAGGCCACCCGAUACUGCUCUGGCUAGAGUCCGGUAGGGGAAGGUGGAAUAUCUGGUGUAGCGGUGAAAUGCGCAGAUAUCAGGUGGAACACCGGUGGCGAAGGCGGCCUUCUGGGCCGGUACUGACGCUGAGGCGCGAAAGCGUGGGGAGCGAACAGG
This 254-nucleotide unclassified non-coding RNA is filed under the name uncultured Acidimicrobiia bacterium. Its description in RNAcentral is "contains 16S-23S intergenic spacer region". It matches the Rfam family "Bacterial small subunit ribosomal RNA", at positions 524 to 776 of the family's 1533-position model. The record is from RNAcentral. Lineage: Bacteria; Bacillati; Actinomycetota; Acidimicrobiia.